CUGGGUUUUCUAUUAAGUUCUAAAAAAACCUUGCUAUCUAAACACAUUUUAUUUUCUUAAUGUGUUUUGAUGAAGUGACUGAAUGUGUUCUGUGAUUCUGAGCUUUCUUGGUUUUCCGAAGCCCUGAUUAAUAGUGUUUUGUAAACAGGAACCUGGAUUUGAAUCAAUGAGGAAGAAUAUCUUCUGUUCUGAUUCCCUAUUUGAUAAACGGGCAGCAAGUACCUGCUUGCCUGACUAAACUCGCUGCCAGCAUGAGGCCUUCACAACACUUGUGCUCCUCUUCUCCUUGGGAUGUGUUUAUCGCACCUGCAAUCCGUUCUACAUCAGUUUGAUUCUAUCUGAUAUUAUGUGUACUGAACAGAAAGCAAAAAAAAGGACAAAUUGAGAGACACUGCAGUAGCAAUAUGGCUUCUCAGGACACGUAGGUCCAGCCAAAGAACCAGUGCAAAAUGGAGCAGUUGGAGUCACUCCAAGAUCACCCUCUAGGCCCUGACCAUCUCACAAAUGCCAGUUGAGAAACGUGAUGAUCCAUGGGAAUUUGAACUCCAGCUAUCUGCUUUGUGCAGCUCCACAAAAUGGCCAGCCCUUUGUUCAUGCCUGUCCAGGAGCUGGACAUCGUGUACCUGUUCCUCAGACAUACAGCCAAAGGCAUUGCUUCCAGAGUUGUUUCUCCAAUGGAAACCAAAGUGAAGCUGACAGGUGCUGCUAGGCUGGAAAAGCUAAUAGAUUUCAUGCCACUUGCUGUGAAGAGAGAAGGAGGAAGUCGUGGGAACAUUUUUAAAGAGGUGGAGAAGCAGCUGAAGGGCUGGCCCUGGUCCAGCUGUGCCUGCUGAAGAUAGAAGGUGGC
Molecule: long non-coding RNA, 847 nt
Filed under: Phasianus colchicus (ring-necked pheasant)
Lineage: Eukaryota; Metazoa; Chordata; Aves; Galliformes; Phasianidae
Description: lncRNA (ENSPCLG00000020330.1)
Source: RNAcentral